AGGAUCAGUAGAAGUCAGCUGUGC
Molecule: microRNA, 24 nt
Filed under: Gallus gallus (chicken)
Lineage: Eukaryota; Metazoa; Chordata; Aves; Galliformes; Phasianidae
Description: gga-miR-1715-5p
Source: miRBase by way of RNAcentral